CAGCCGCGGUAAUUCCAGCUCCAAUAGCGUAUACUAAAGUUGUUGCGGUUAAAAAGCUCGUAGUUGGAUCUUGGAAUGUGUUCAAGCGGGUCAGCUUCUGGCUGUGCGCUGCUUGACGUGUUCUUCUAUUUGGUUUUGGUGCGGUGCGCUUAACUGCGUGUCGCUCCCGGCCGAAACGUUUACCUUGAAAAAAUUAGAGUGUUCAAAGCAGACCUGUUUGAGUCUGAAUAUUCGUGCAUGGAAUAAUGAAAUAUGAAUUCGGUUCUAUUUUGUUGGUUUUCGGAACUCGAGUUAAUGAUCAAGAGGGACAGACGGGGGCAUUCGUACUCUGCCGUUAGAGGUGAAAUUCUUGGAUCGGCGGAAGACGCGCAACUGCGAAAGCAUUUGCCAAGAAUGUUUUCUUUAAUCAAGAACGAUAGUCGGAGGUUCGAAGACGAUCAGAUACCGUCCUAGUUUCGACUGUAAACUAUGCCAGCUAACGAUCAGACAGAGUUCUCUACGACUUGUCUGGCAGUUUCCGGGAAACCAAAGCGUUUGGGUUCCGGGGGAAGUAUGGUUGCAAAGCUGAAACUUAAAGGAAUUGACGGAAGGGCACCACCAGGAGUGGAGCCUGCGGCUUAAUUUGACUCAACACGGGGAAACUCACCCGGCCCGGACACAGUGAGGAUUGACAGAUUGAGAGUUCUUUCUUGAUUCUGUGGGUGGUGGUGCAUGGCCGUUCUUAGUUGGUGGAGCGAUUUGUCUGGUUAAUUCCGAUAACGAACGAGACUCUGGCAUGUUAAAUAGUCGCGGAAGUGCGUAUGCACUUGCCGAAUCGACUUCUUAGAGGGACUAGUGAUUUUAAUUCACACGAGAUUGAGCAAUAACAGGUCUGUGAU
RNAcentral lists this ribosomal RNA (878 nucleotides) under uncultured eukaryote. RNAcentral describes it as "SSU rRNA". It matches the Rfam family "Eukaryotic small subunit ribosomal RNA", at positions 571 to 1468 of the family's 1831-position model. The record is from RNAcentral.